RNAcentral lists this long non-coding RNA (3199 nucleotides) under Homo sapiens (human). RNAcentral's name for it is "HSALNT0307995". Lineage: Eukaryota; Metazoa; Chordata; Mammalia; Primates; Hominidae. The record is from RNAcentral.
AUUUGGCAGACAUUAUUUGCUGCCCAUCCAAAAGCCAUUUCUGCUCCCUUUCUUCCUUGCUAAAGAAUCCUUGAAUCUGUUCAGAUAUUAGAAGGUCAUGAGUUGAGGGAAAGCAUGUUGAUUGGUGUUCCCUUUCCCAUGAUUGCUAUAAGCACACAUAUGUGACACAACCAUGGUGAUGAAAAGAAAUCAGCUGUGGUUGGUGGUGAUAGCAAAGUGUAAGCUUUCAUUGAUACAGAGGCUUACUCAUUUCUGCCUUUGGUUAUUGUGCUGCUUCUGCUUGCUGUAGCCUUCCUGUUUCAAUGAUGAGAAGGCCAAAGGAAUCUGUGAGCUGACCCAGAGCCCGCAUGUUGUUGACAAGCCACAGAGUUGCCCAACCUCUUUUAUUGUUAUUUUGAUUCAGGGAAUUCCUGAAGAUUCUGAAAUUGUGAACUGACAAGCCCAUGGAUGUCUACAAAGAGUGAACUGAUCACUGUGGGCUGGCCUUUGAGGCAUCAGUGAGGCAUUGUGGCUCUGGAGACCUGGAAGCACUGCUAACUGUUCUCUCGAUUUUCUGACGCUCGGCCACAUCAACCUGUCAUACUAGUUGUGAGGAGAAGUCAAGGACAGUGACACAGCCAGCCAGUCUGAGGCAUUUUCCAUCAUCCUGAAGGAGUUGCCCUAUCCUGCUUUUCACUGGAGGGGGCAUGGAUGGAUCUGGAAUGUAUAAUUGGAGUAGACAUUCUCAGCAGCUGGCGGAAACCCCGCAUUGGUUCCAUGACAUGUGGAAUGAAGGCUACGAUGGUAGGAAAAGAUAAGUGGAAGCUGCUAAAACUGCAUUUACCUUGAAAAAUAUUAAACACAAAGAAACACUACAUUCCUGGAAAGACUGCACCAUCAAGGACUUGAAAGACUCAGGGACGGGGUGAUUCUUAUGUUCUCACUCAACUUGCCUGUGCGGGAGUCAGAUGAAUCUUGGAGAAUGACAGUGGAUUAUUAUAAGCUUAACUAGGUGAUGACUCCAAUUGCAGCUGCUGUACUGGAUGUGGUUUCAUUGCUCGAGCAAGUUAAUACAUCCCCUGGUACCUAGUAUGCAGCUAUUGAUCUAGCAAAUGCCUUUUUCUCCUUACCUCUCAAUAAGAACAACCAGAAUCAGUUUGCUUUUAGCUAGUAAGGUCAGCAAUAUAGCUUCACUGUGCUGCAUCAGGGGUAUGUUAAUUCUCUACCACUAUGUCAUAAUUUAGUUUGCAGGAAUCUUUAUCACCUUUCCCUUCCAAAAGAUAUCACACUAGUCUAUUACACUGGUGACAUGAUGCUGAUUUGACGUAGUGAGCAAGAAGUAGCAACUACUCUAUAGUUAUUGGUAAGACAUUUGCAUGUCAGAGAAUGAAUUUUCAAGAAAAUUCAGUGAAAUUUCUAGGGGUCAGUAUGUGGAGCAUGUGAGAUAUUACUUCUAAGGUAAAGGAUAAGUUGAUGUAUUUGCCUCACCUUCAACCAUAAAAGAGGAACAAUGCCUAGUGGGCCUCUUUGGAUUCUGGAGGCAACAUACUCCUUAUUUGAGUGUGUUACUCUAGUCCAUUUACUGAGUAAACUGCUUUUCACUAGUUUUCAGUGAGGCCCAGAACAAGAAGAGACUCUGCAACAAGUCUAGGCUGCUGUGCAAGCUGCUCUGUCACUUGGGCCUUAUGAUCCGGUAGAUCCAAUGGUGCUUGAAGUGUCAGUGGUAGACAGGGAUGCUGUCUGGAGCCUUUGAUGGGCCCCCUAUUGGUGAAUCACAGUGCGGAUCCUUAGGAUUUUGGAACAAAGCCCUGAUAUCUUCUGUGGAUAACUACUCUCCUUUUGAGAAACAGUUCUUAGUUUGCUACUGGGCCUUAGUAGAGACUUAAUACUUAACUAUGCACUACUAAGUUACUAUUUGACCUGAGCUUCCCACCAUGAACUGAGUGUUGUCUUACUCGCAAAGCCAUGAAGUUGGGCAUGCACAGCAGCACUCCAUCAUCAAAUGGAAGUACUUUGUAUGAGAUUAGGUCAAAUCAGGCUCUUGGCACAAGUAAGUUACAUGAAAAGAAGGGGCCUAAUUGUCAUGGCACCCACUCCUAUUACAGGACCUUCUCUCUCCCGCCUGCUUCUGUGGCCUCACAGGGGAGCUCCUUGUGAUCAGUUGAUAGAGGAAAAAAGACUCAGGCCUGAUUUACAGAAGAUUCUGCAUGAUAUACAGCUACCACCUGAAAGUGGGCAGCUGCAGAACUGCAGACCUUCUCUGAAACAUUCCUCAAGGACAAUGGUGAAGAAAAAUCCUUCCAGUAGGCAGAACUUCAAGCAGUGCACCUGAUUGUUCACUUUGCUUGGGAGAAAAGGUAGGACAUGUGACUGUACACUGAUUCAUGGACUGUGGCCAAUGGUUUGGUAGAUGGUCAAGGACUUGAAAGGAACAUGACUGGAAUAUUGGUGAGAAGGAAAUUUGGGGAAGAAGUAUGUGGAUAGAUCUCUCUCAAUGGGCAAAAAACCAUGAAGAUAUUUGUGUCCCAUGUAAAUAUUUACAAAAGGAUAACCUCAGCAGAGGAAGACUGUAAUAAUAAAGUGGAUAGAAUAGCCCAUUCUGUAGCUACCACUCAGCUUCUUUCUCCAGCCAACCCUGUUCAUUGCCCAAUGGGCUCAUGAACAAAGUGGCCAUUGUGGCAAAAAAGGGGGGUUAUGCAUAGGCUCAGCGACAUAGACUCCUACUCACCAAGACCAACCUGGCUACAGCCACCACUGAGUUCUUAAUCUGCUAGAAGCAGAAACCAACACCGAGUCCCUAAUAUGGCACCAAUCCUCAUGGUGGCCAGCCAGCUCCUGGGUGGCAGGUUGAUUAUAUUGGACUGCUUCCAUCAUGGAAGAGACAGCAGUUUGUCCUCACUGAAAUAGAUAUUUACACUGGAUAUACAUUUUUCUUCCUGCACACAAUGCUUCUCCCAAAACUACCAUCCAUGGACUUACGGAAUGCUUUAUCCACCAUCUUGGUAUUCCACACAGCAUUGCUUCUGACUAAGGAACUUACUUCACUGCCAAAGAAGCAUGGCAAUGGGUAUAUGCUCAUGGAAUUCCCUGGUCUUACCAUGUUUCCUGCCAUCCUAUAGCUGCUGGCUUGAUAGAGUGGUGGAAUGGUUUUUUGAAAUCACAGUUGUAAUUCCAGCACUUUGGGAGGCUGAGGUGGGUGGAUCACCUGAGGUCAGGAGUU